RNAcentral lists this ribosomal RNA (253 nucleotides) under uncultured bacterium. Its description in RNAcentral is "partial 16S ribosomal RNA". It matches the Rfam family "Bacterial small subunit ribosomal RNA", at positions 524 to 776 of the family's 1533-position model. The record is from RNAcentral.
UACGGAGGGGGCGAGCGUUAUUCGGAAUUAUUGGGCGUAAAGAGCUCGUAGGCGGCUUGUCGCGUCGUCUGUGAAAUCCCGCGGCUCAACCGCGGGUCUGCAGUCGAUACGGGCAGGCUAGAGUUCGGUAGGGGAGACUGGAAUUCCUGGUGUAGCGGUGAAAUGCGCAGAUAUCAGGAGGAACACCGGUGGCGAAGGCGGGUCUCUGGGCCGAUACUGACGCUGAGGAGCGAAAGCGUGGGGAGCGAACCGG